CUAUUUUAAAUAUCAAUAACUUUAUUUUCUUUCUAAAUUUACCUGCCACAUUAUCGAUACUAUGAUUUUUUUUUGUAUACUUAUAUUAUUCGUAUGCUAUAAACCGAUUAAUGGAUAUGUCAAAUGUUAUAGUUGUGGCACGUUUCCAACAUCUGGCGCAUUAGAAAAAUUAUAUGGUGGUCCACCAGCACAAGCAGCUUGUCCAGAACCUUUUGAAAAAAAAAUUGGAGUGGGAGAAUCAAUAUGUAAUGGUUUUUGUCGGAAAACUGUUUACAGAACAGAUAAGAAAUAUUAUACUGCUCGGGGAUGCAGUCCAUUAUGUUAUGCACAAGAAGAAGGAGAUGUAAUGAAAACAUUUUGCUGCAAUACAGACCAUUGUAAUGUAGCAGGAGCACACCGUCCA
Gordionus sp. m RMFG-2023 is the source of this 403-nucleotide long non-coding RNA. RefSeq lists it as uncharacterized. The record is from RefSeq and is a predicted model, not a curated record. The transcript has 4 exons. NCBI's taxonomy places the organism in Eukaryota, Metazoa, Nematomorpha, Gordioida, Chordodea, Parachordodidae.